UACGUAGGUGGCAAGCGUUGUCCGGAAUUAUUGGGCGUAAAGGAUGCGUAGGUGGUCCUUUAAGUGGGAUGUGAAAUCCCUGGGCCUAACCCAGGAAUUGCAUUCCAAACUGGAGGACUAGAGUGCAGGAGAGGAAAGUGGAAUUCCCAGUGUAGCGGUGAAAUGCGUAGAGAUUGGGAGGAACACCAGUGGCGAAGGCGGCUUUCUGGACUGUAACUGACACUGAGGCAUGAAAGCGUGGGGAGCAAACAGGAUUAGAUACCCUGGUCGUCCACGCCGUAAACGAUGGGUACUAGGUGUAGGGGGGACCCCCCUCUGUGCCGCAGUUAACACAUUAAGUACCCCGCCUGGGGAGUACGAUCGCAAGAUUAAA
RNAcentral lists this ribosomal RNA (373 nucleotides) under uncultured bacterium. RNAcentral's name for it is "bacterial SSU rRNA". It matches the Rfam family "Bacterial small subunit ribosomal RNA", at positions 524 to 898 of the family's 1533-position model. The record is from RNAcentral.